Non-coding RNA from Cajanus cajan (pigeon pea), 289 nucleotides. The record is from RefSeq and is a predicted model, not a curated record. Lineage: Eukaryota; Viridiplantae; Streptophyta; Magnoliopsida; Fabales; Fabaceae.
CGUGACUAUGAAACAUUUGCAGGUCAUAUCAACCAUUCUAUUUUCUGGAAAAAUCUAGCUCCUGUUCGUGAAGGAGGUGGUGAACCACCCAAGGGAUCAUUGGGAUGGGCUAUUGACACACAUUUUGGCUCCUUUGAUGCAUUGAUACAAAAAGUUAAUGCAGAAGGUGCAGCGCUACAGGGGUCUGGAUGGGUGUGGCUUGGUCUGGACAAAGAGUUGAAGAGGCUUGUGGUUGAAACUACUGCCAACCAGGUAUAGUAUCCCUUCCACCUCCAAUGCCCCUCCCCUU